Molecule: ribosomal RNA, 301 nt
Filed under: uncultured bacterium
Lineage: Bacteria
Description: partial 16S ribosomal RNA
Rfam family: Bacterial small subunit ribosomal RNA
Source: RNAcentral
CAGUAGCCGCGGUAAUACAGAGGGUGCAAGCGUUAAUCGGAAUUACUGGGCGUAAAGCGCGCGUAGGUGGUUUGUUAAGUUGGAUGUGAAAUCCCCGGGCUCAACCUUGGAACUGCAUCCAAAACUGGCAAGCUAGAGUAUGGUAGAGGGUGGUGGAAUUUCCUGUGUAGCGGUGAAAUGCGUAGAUAUAGGAAGGAACACCAGUGGCGAAGGCGACCACCUGGACUGAUACUGACACUGAGGUGCGAAAGCGUGGGGAGCAAACAGGAUUAGAUACCCCCGUAGUCCCUGUCUCUUAUAC